RNAcentral lists this ribosomal RNA (630 nucleotides) under Malenchus labiatus. Its description in RNAcentral is "eukaryotic LSU rRNA". It matches the Rfam family "Eukaryotic large subunit ribosomal RNA", at positions 580 to 894 of the family's 3401-position model. Lineage: Eukaryota; Metazoa; Nematoda; Chromadorea; Rhabditida; Tylenchidae. The record is from RNAcentral.
UUACAAGUCCCGUGAGGGGAUAGAGCCGACGUUCUGGCGCGCAUUCGGCGGUUCGGCUCGUAGGCGCAUUCAGUGCUCUGUUCGAGUGUCUGUUUGCUACCGGCUUGCAGUUCUGCCUCAUUUGCGUGCGGAGAGCGCUGAGGGGCGUUGGUACGGUUGGCGAGACGCAACGUGUGGACACCUCCGGGUGCACCUGCCUGCGUGGAGCUUUCUGCGCUGACGUCGCCGCUGGCGGCCCUGAGUGAAGCGGCUUCUUGAUCGUCAGGGGGUCUUUGCUUGCGCAUGCGCUUGCAUCACGCUGUCUGGCGAGCGGCUGUCGUGGAACUCGGUGGUCAGACCUCGGCGUACGAGUUGGUCACCUAUCCGACCCGUCUUGAAACACGGACCAAGGAGUUUAGCGCAUACGCGAGUCAAUGGGAGGCAAACCCAGAGGCGCAACGAAAGUGAACGUAAAAGAUGCGAUCCGGGCUCUAGGGCCGUCAGGAGCAACAUCGCCCUGUGCCGCAUCCCGCGGGAUUGAGCACUGAGGCAGAGCGUAUGCGAUGAGACCCGAAAGAUGGUGAACUAUUCCCGAGCAGGACGAAGCCGGGGGAAACUCCGGUGGAAUGUCCGAAGCUGGUUCUGACGUGC